This 2384-nucleotide long non-coding RNA is filed under the name Hordeum vulgare. Its description in RNAcentral is "long non-coding RNA (HVUL_LNC020680)". Lineage: Eukaryota; Viridiplantae; Streptophyta; Magnoliopsida; Poales; Poaceae. The record is from RNAcentral.
AUCAUCACAUCAACAACUUAAUUUUGCAUAACUUAGAAUCACUAUCUCAUCAUAGCAACAAUAGUCUCACAGGCAUGACACAAUUUUGCAAAAGUGAUAAUGCAAUCCUUAUGAAAGAACCCCACAGUGUUUCCUCUAAAUAAAACUCCAAAGUGCCUUUCUUCUGAAUCAUUUCCGUUUAGCACUCUCUUCCAUUGUAGUAAAUGCAUCAGUGAGCACAUCAACGGCAGAUCGAGACUCAUCCUCCUGCAAGGCAGAGAUGUCAAGAGUAAAUGCUACGGACCGAGACAUAGAUGUUGAAACUUGCCCUUAUCCAAAAGAUGUCUGAUAACUUAAGUAAAAGAGAAACUAAAGUCAGAUUGUUACGGUCUCAACACUAAUUGUAAGUAUGCUGAAGCUCAACAAAUUACUGUGCACACAACGGCAGACCUGGGAAACAACAAGCAAAAAACCAAACGUCGCAUCACAUAGAGACCCCCGGGAGAAAAAAACGACCAGAAGAAAUCAAAACAAAGGCACAACAAUAAUGAUCCCGAUGAUCAAUCAAUUCUUUGACAGACUCCAGGAACUUCAGUUCAUAUAGCAGAUUCAGUUUAAAAUUUAAACUCAAUUGUUUCCAGCAUUACUUGGAGACAAGAAAAGACACUUUAUUUGGCAUGUUUCACAGCAAUUUUUGUACUCAGCCGCGCUGGUCACUUGGGGCAGCGCAGCCAUCUACUAUUUGGCAUGUUUCACAGCAAUUAUUUGUACUCAGCCAUCCACUAUGAGCCUUGGGAACGAGCAGCUCCAAGCCCACCUCAAGCUCAGGCAGCAGCUUUUCUACUAGUACAACACAAGAAUAAUUCCCAGGACGAUAGCAUUCACCAAACAUAGCAUCUAAUCACAGAACUUAAUUAACAAUAACUGAGAAAUAGAGGUGGCAUUUAUCACUUCUAUUGCAAAAAUCCAACUAGCAGACGACAGAUAAUUCAGAAUCACAUCACACAUGGCCACUUCACCUUCAGCUAAUCCAUGUCAACCAACCAACCCAACCUGUGUUCAAAAUCACAAGGGUACAGAACCACCUUCCACGUCCAGCCACAUGCACUUGACGAUAUCUACAGAGCCCCUAUGUGAUGUGAUAUGGUACAGAACCAUCUUCCACGCCAACGAUUGAAACCCUAGAAAAGGGGGAGGAGAGGGGAGGGAUGAGAUGGAACCAGCCCUUACCGGCGAAGACGCCAGGUUACCGGAGCAAUGAGUUCUUGCGUCAGAGACGGCAGGGGAUGAGGAGGCAGGACUGAUGGGCAGGGGUUGAGGAGGCCUGGAUGGAGCCGGCGAACGGCGGACGGAGGGUGGAGGGCCGAUGACGGAGCCGACGAACGGCGGACGGAUAGCGGAGGGCGGACGAUGGAGAGGGGCCAAGGGGCGACGGCGGAGGGGGCAAGCGGCGGGGGCGACGGAAGAUAGGGCGAAGGGGCGACGACAGAGGGAGGAAAUUCGCGAGGGGCAGCUCGCGUCUGUUCUUACACGGGUAUUGAGGGUUUCACGCGUGUAAUUUUGGGGAUGGGCCGGUCCAAUACCGGGGUAACGAACGGGCUGUGAGGAAUUUCACGGAUUUUUUUACCGGGCCUGUAAAAUACACUAGAUAAGAUGCCAAUACCUGGGUACCGAACGAGGCCUAAAGGUAUGAAUUUUACACCAGGAAACUCCCUCCCGGGUAGCACGAAAGGGCGACUCAAGAGGCGAUCAGAUCAAAGCUGCCAAAAUAACUACCUUCCCGUCGCACCGUUCACCCCGCUGCCCCUGAAGCCGCUCGACCACGGGCAGCUGCGGUAGGGUGCCUCCCCCUCCCACUUCUUGCUUCCUUCUUCCCUGGCGGUCUUCUUCUAAGUACGGCCUGUCUUUGAUCCGGUCCAUGUUAGGGACGCCCUGGCUUGAUCUUGUCAUAUCGGCGUGAGGGCCAUGGUUGUACGUUGUUGGGUGUUAGUCCUGCCAGGUGCUCAUCGGGCACCACGUACGCAUCAAACUGAUCAUCCCUAGAUGUGCCUUAUAGAUUGAUGAUACGCAGGCAUCCACACUGACGAAAAAGGGUUUCCCCCGCUUUGUUUUACAAAGCAACCAACCAGAACAUUCAAUGAUAGAUGCUGGGACGGAAACAGCACAAACACGUUUAAAAGAAACGAAAACGAAAAUACAAAAGAAACAAAUCCCGACACUGGCAGAUCCAUAAAAAAUGCAAAAAAUUCGCGACCGCUGCGCCCAGCAAGAGUCUUCCACCAAGCUCCAGGACUCCCAAGCGUCGAUACCCAUCAACACCUCCAAGGAGGGCUGCGACGACGACGGCGUUGUUGCCAAGGGUUUCCCCCGGUACGCGACUCGGCGACACCCAAAGGCGUCAUGGC